UACGGAGGAUCCAAGCGUUAUCCGGAUUUAUUGGGUUUAAAGGGUGCGUAGGCGGAUUGAUAAGUUAGAGGUGAAAUGUCCGAGCUCAACUCGGGAACUGCCUCUAAUACUGUUGAUCUCGAGAGUAGAUGCGGUAGGCGGAAUGUAUGGUGUAGCGGUGAAAUGCUUAGAGAUCAUACAGAACACCGAUUGCGAAGGCAGCUUACCAAUCUAUAUCUGACGUUGAGGCACGAAAGCGUGGGGAGCAAACAGG
This 253-nucleotide ribosomal RNA is filed under the name uncultured bacterium. RNAcentral describes it as "partial 16S ribosomal RNA". It matches the Rfam family "Bacterial small subunit ribosomal RNA", at positions 524 to 776 of the family's 1533-position model. The record is from RNAcentral.